UCUUGGUCAUUUAGAGGAAGUAAAAGUCGUAACAAGGUCUCCGUAGUGAACCUGCGGAGGGAUCAUUACACAAAUAUGAAGGCGGGCUGGAACCUCUCGGGGUUACAGCCUUGCUGAAUUAUUCACCCUUGUCUUUUGCGUACUUCUUGUUUCCUUGGUGGGUUCGCCCACCACUAGGACAAACAUAAACCUUUUGUAAUUGCAAUCAGCGUCAGUAACAAAUUAAUAAUUACAACUUUCAACAACGGAUCUCUUGGUUCUGGCAUCGAUGAAGAACGCAGCGAAAUGCGAUAAGUAGUGUGAAUUGCAGAAUUCAGUGAAUCAUCGAAUCUUUGAACGCACAUUGCGCCCUUUGGUAUUCCAAAGGGCAUGCCUGUUCGAGCGUCAUUUGUACCCUCAAGCUUUGCUUGGUGUUGGGCGUCUUGUCUCUAGCUUUGCUGGAGACUCGCCUUAAAGUAAUUGGCAGCCGGCCUACUGGUUUCGGAGCGCAGCACAAGUCGCACUCUCUAUCAGCAAAGGUCUAGCAUCCAUUAAGCCUUUUUUUCAACUUUUGACCUCGGAUCAGGUAGGGAUACCCGCUGAACUUAAGCAUAUCAAUAAGCGGAGG
This 607-nucleotide ribosomal RNA is filed under the name fungal sp. MG130Nc3L2x. Its description in RNAcentral is "eukaryotic LSU rRNA". The stretch from base 234 to 387 matches the Rfam family "5.8S ribosomal RNA". Lineage: Eukaryota; Fungi. The record is from RNAcentral.